Molecule: ribosomal RNA, 253 nt
Filed under: uncultured bacterium
Lineage: Bacteria
Description: partial 16S ribosomal RNA
Rfam family: Bacterial small subunit ribosomal RNA
Source: RNAcentral
UACGUAGGGAGCAAGCGUUGUCCGGAAUCAUUGGGCGUAAAGCGCGCGUAGGUGGCCCGGUAGGUCCGCUCUGAAAGUCAAAGGCUCAACCUUUGAAAGCGGGUGGAUACUGCCAGGCUAGAGUCCGGAAGAGGCGAGUGGAAUUCCUGGUGUAGCGGUGGAAUGCGCAGAUAUCAGGAGGAACACCGGUGGCGAAGGCGGGUCUCUGGGCCGAUAUUGACGCUGAGGAGCGAAAGCGUGGGGAGCGAACAGG